This 497-nucleotide ribosomal RNA is filed under the name uncultured bacterium. RNAcentral describes it as "partial 16S ribosomal RNA". It matches the Rfam family "Bacterial small subunit ribosomal RNA", at positions 28 to 507 of the family's 1533-position model. The record is from RNAcentral.
GAUGAACGCUGGCGGCGUGCCUAAUACAUGCAAGUAGAACGCUGAAGGAAGGAGCCUGCUCUUUCCGGAUGAGUUGCGAACGGGUGAGUAACGCGUAGGUAACCUGCCUGGUAGCGGGGGAUAACUAUUGGAAACGAUAGCUAAUACCGCAUAACAGUAGAUGUUGCAUGAUAUCUACUUAAAAGGUGCAAUUGCACCACUACCAGAUGGACCUGCGUUGUAUUAGCUAGUUGGUGAGGUAACGGCUCACCAAGGCGACGAUACAUAGCCGACCUGAGAGGGUGAUCGGCCACACUGGGACUGAGACACGGCCCAGACUCCUACGGGAGGCAGCAGUAGGGAAUCUUCGGCAAUGGACGGAAGUCUGACCGAGCAACGCCGCGUGAGUGAAGAAGGUUUUCGGAUCGUAAAGCUCUGUUGUAAGAGAAGAACGAGUGUGAGAGUGGAAAGUUCACACUGUGACGGUAUCUUACCAGAAAGGGACGGCUAACUACGUG